Molecule: ribosomal RNA, 220 nt
Filed under: Clostridioides difficile
Lineage: Bacteria; Bacillati; Bacillota; Clostridia; Peptostreptococcales; Peptostreptococcaceae
Description: partial 23S ribosomal RNA
Rfam family: Bacterial large subunit ribosomal RNA
Source: RNAcentral
CAACGGAUAAAAGCUACCCUGGGGAUAACAGGCUUAUCUCCCCCAAGAGUCCACAUCGACGGGGAGGUUUGGCACCUCGAUGUCGGCUCAUCCCAUCCUGGGGCUGUAGUAGGUCCCCAGGGUUGGGCUGUUCGCCCAUUAAAGUGGUACGCGAGCUGGGUUCAGAACGUCGUGAGACAGUUCGGUCCCUAUCCGUCGCAGGCGUAGGAAAUUUGAGAAG